This 218-nucleotide ribosomal RNA is filed under the name uncultured bacterium. RNAcentral's name for it is "partial 16S ribosomal RNA". It matches the Rfam family "Bacterial small subunit ribosomal RNA", at positions 524 to 742 of the family's 1533-position model. The record is from RNAcentral.
GACGAACCGUGCGAACGUUGUUCGGAUUCACUGGGCUUAAAGGGCGCGUAGGCGGACGGUCAAGUCGGGGGUGAAAUCUUUCAGCUUAACUGGAAAAGUGCCUCCGAUACUGAUCGUCUCGAGGGAGGUAGGGGCAUGUGGAACUUCCGGUGGAGCGGUGAAAUGCGUAGAUAGUCGGAAGGAACGCCGGUGGCGAAGCGGUCUGCUGGGCAGUGCUG